GACGAACGCUGGCGGCGUGCUUAACACAUGCAAGUCGAACGGAAAGGCCCUGCUUUUGUGGGGUGCUCGAGUGGCGAACGGGUGAGUAACACGUGAGUAACCUGCCCUUGACUUUGGGAUAACUUCAGGAAACUGGGGCUAAUACCGGAUAGGAGCUCCUGCUGCAUGGUGGGGGUUGGAAAGUUUCGGCGGUUGGGGAUGGACUCGCGGUUUAUCAGCUUGUUGGUGGGGUAGUGGCUUACCAAGGCUUUGACGGGUAGCCGGCCUGAGAGGGUGACCGGCCACAUUGGGACUGAGAUACGGCCCAGACUCCUACGGGAGGCAGCAGUGGGGAAUAUUGCACAAUGGGCGGAAGCCUGAUGCAGCAACGCCGCGUGCGGGAUGACGGCCUUCGGGAUGUAAACCGCUUUCGCCUGUGACGAAGCGUGAGUGACGGUAAUGGGUAAAGAAGCACCGGCUAACUACGUG
Molecule: ribosomal RNA, 468 nt
Filed under: uncultured bacterium
Lineage: Bacteria
Description: partial 16S ribosomal RNA
Rfam family: Bacterial small subunit ribosomal RNA
Source: RNAcentral